This 549-nucleotide long non-coding RNA is filed under the name Physcomitrium patens. RNAcentral's name for it is "long non-coding RNA (PPAT_LNC008043)". The record is from RNAcentral. Lineage: Eukaryota; Viridiplantae; Streptophyta; Bryopsida; Funariales; Funariaceae.
UCAAAGAGAUAUAAAAAUAUAUAUCCUAAUUGAAGUUUGAUAAAAUUUUAAUGUAACUCUCAAUAAACCAUAAUAAAAUCCUAAAUCAAUCCUAAUCAAACUUUAAAGUAAAUCUUAAUGAAAUCUUUAUAAAAUACUAUCCAAAUCUUUAUUAAAUCCUAAUUACAUCCUAUUCAAAUUCUAAUCAAAUCCUAUAUUCUAAUCAAAUCUUAAAUCCUAAUCAAAUCCUAAAUCAAAUAUUAAAAAAAUUCUAAUUAAAUCCUAACCGAUUCUAAUCAAAUCCUAAAUCAAAUACUAAGAAAAUCCUAAUCAAAUCCUAAUCAAAUCCUAAAUCCUAGACCAAUCUUAAUCAAAUUCUAGCGAAAUCCUAAAUCCUAAUCAAAUCCUAAAAAAAUUCUAAUAAAAUCAUAAAUUCUAAUCUUUGAUCAAAUCCUAAAUCAAAUCCUAAAUCAAAUCCUAAAAAAACUUAAUCAAAUAUUAGAUCCUAAAUAAAUCCUAAUAAAUCCUUAAUCAAAUUUUAAAUCUUAAAUAAAUUCUUAAUAAAUUCUA